This 492-nucleotide ribosomal RNA is filed under the name uncultured bacterium. RNAcentral describes it as "partial 16S ribosomal RNA". It matches the Rfam family "Bacterial small subunit ribosomal RNA", at positions 29 to 507 of the family's 1533-position model. The record is from RNAcentral.
AGUUAACGCUGGCGGUAGGCCUAACACAUGCAAGUCGAACGGCAGCACAGUAAGAGCUUGCUCUUACGGGUGGCGAGUGGCGGACGGGUGAGGAAUACAUCGGAAUCUACUUUUUCGUGGGGGAUAACGUAGGGAAACUUACGCUAAUACCGCAUACGACCUACGGGUGAAAGCAGGGGAUCUUCGGACCUUGCGCGAUUGAAUGAGCCGAUGUCGGAUUAGCUAGUUGGCGGGGUAAAGGCCCACCAAGGCGACGAUCCGUAGCUGGUCUGGGAGGAUGAUCAGCCACACUGGAACUGAGACACGGUCCAGACUCCUACGGGAGGCAGCAGUGGGGAAUAUUGGACAAUGGGCGCAAGCCUGAUCCAGCCAUACCGCGUGGGUGAAGAAGGCCUUCGGGUUGUAAAGCCCUUUUGUUGGGAAAGAAAAGCAGCAGGUUAAUACCCCGCUGUUCUGACGGUACCCAAAGAAUAAGCACCGGCUAACUUCGUG